Molecule: long non-coding RNA, 2128 nt
Filed under: Nicotiana tabacum (common tobacco)
Lineage: Eukaryota; Viridiplantae; Streptophyta; Magnoliopsida; Solanales; Solanaceae
Description: long non-coding RNA (NTAB_LNC001162)
Source: RNAcentral
AUGUGUGGCAAUAGAUUUUUCAUCUCAAUCUAACACUAUCGGGAGAAGUAACACUCUGUGUCUCUAACGCCAUCUCCAAAACAUCUGCUCUCUGUCUCCUCUUGUUCUUAAGUUUGCAGUGUGUUUUCUUCCAUCGAUCGUAUUUUUUAGUGGGUAUCACUUCUACCAUAUCUUUGAUCCAUCUUUAUAUGUAUUUCUAUUGAGGAAUAUCAAUGGCUUUUGUUGUUUAGGUGUUUGACAAAAUUCUUCAAUGUUAUAAAAAGUUGAAUUAGAAACACUAAUACUUCGAAAAGAAUAUUAACGAUGUCUUUGUCCCUUCUCUUUUCUGCUUGUUUCAAUUUUUGUUUUUGUUUCUUGCAUUAAAUUAUUUCAGUUGGAUUAAGCGAGUGUUUAUCUCUAAGAUUGCAAAUGCUUUAUCAUGUAAUUGAUGUCUCAUUUAUCUUGUGAGUGAAUUAUAAAGAAGUCAUCCAGAAUGUAUUUUGCACUUUCAGUGAAGAUAAGAGGCUCUUUUUUUUUUUCUUUUAAUUUUGUAUUUUUUCAUUAGUACCUUAGUUGUUUGCGUAGAGCAAUUUAGCAACUUUAGGAGAAGGCUAUAAACUGACCGCCCACACUAACAAAUACUUUGACCGAAGGUUAAAAUUCUGUCAUGAAAUGUUGCAGGAGAAAAUACCAUUAUUAAACUGAAAUUUAUUGGAUAAGAUAGCUACAAAUAACUUUGAAUCAAAUGCAUCGACAACCGGUGUAUAACACGGUAGAAUUUAGCAGUCUCUUUUGCAAAAGUUUGUUACUUUUGAUGUUGUGAUUUAUACAGGAAUAGGAAUAGCUGCCUCAACCAACCACUGAGGCUAAAUAUGUUGUAUGAACUGUAACUUUAUCACUAAAAAGUGCUCGCUAAUGUUGUUAAGAUAGAUAUUUGGACCCAUGAAGAAUUGAAUUGAAGUGAACCUAGUUUCAUGUGAGUUAUCUUUCUGUGAUAGGACUGCAUGUAAGUCCUCAAUUAGAUUACAGAAGUUGGAAGAACAGCAAUUGAAAGGGGAAGGCUACUUGGAUUCAGGAAUUAGUUUGAAUUUAAGCAAGCUUCCUAUAAGCAAUCAUAUUAAAUAGUAGUUGGACGGUAAAACAUCAUUAUUUUUCCAAAGUUUUUAGUACGUCAGAAAAGUUUGAAGUUCUAAUUUUUGAAAUUGGCAGAUAGUUUUUCUAGGAAUAGUCUUUAGUUAAUUCUUACAUGAAAAGAAUGGUAAAUUUAGAACCUAACAUAUUUAUAUUGCGAUAAAUUUGUUGCGGCCUUGUAUUGCAUUUGAUUACCUUUGUAUUGUUAAUAGAAUAAACAAUAAAAUGCGCUCCUUAAAGUCGACUAAGGUGCUUUUUUGUUUGCUUUUUUAAGAGCUAUUUGAAAAACAGAUAUCUCGCUGUAAUAAGUCCGUGAAUAAAUGUAUGCCAACCAAAGGAAUUUUAAUUUAAGAUGAGCUGAAUUAUCGAUUGACGAAAAUGGAGUUGGUGGUGAUAUCUAAGACCAUGAAUGCUUCGACAAUGUCGUCAAUUAGGUGGUAAAAUGAGUUGCCGUUGAACUUCAAGAAGAUUAAGAGAAAUAAGGAGAGGUUCUCGGUGGUGAGAGUUAAGCUACGAUAGAGCAAAAUGGUGAUUAAUUAGGGAGUCCUGUUUUCUCUAUUUUUUUUUAAUUAUUAUUUUGUAUUUUCAUUAAGAAAUUUGUGAUUUUAUCCUAAGGUUCAAAAUUGAGUUUUUGAGCAUUCUCUCAUUAUUCUCUCAUUUUGGAGAUGGACAGGACCGAACGAGUGAAAGAUCUCCAAGUGUACAUAGGAUUUUAUUGAAUUUCAUAUGGGAAUAAACAAGCAAGGAUUGCAACGCAACUGCUUGAUAGUGUUGUAGGUGGCUCAUAUUGUGAGGUGAGGAAUGAACUUUCCUGAAGAAUACUACUCCUAAGAGUUUUUGCAGUUACUUAAUGUUUUAGCAUAUUAUAGAACUUAUUUAAUCAGUUGAUUUAGACAAUCUAAUCUAGCUUUAACAGUUAUCUUUGUAUCUUCCAUUUUUGCGCAAUUUCAAAAUACAUUUGGUUUUAUUCUAGAAAUUAAUAUAAAUCCUAUGUUCUUAUAUGUUGUUCUAAAGUGUU